UGUUAUACCAGGGUCUGCUGCGACCCCCAA
RNAcentral lists this small RNA (30 nucleotides) under Bombyx mori (domestic silkworm). Its description in RNAcentral is "ovarian small RNA-927". The record is from RNAcentral. Lineage: Eukaryota; Metazoa; Arthropoda; Insecta; Lepidoptera; Bombycidae.